GACGAACGCUGGCGGCGUGCCUAAUACAUGCAAGUUGAGCGCUGAAGGUUGGUACUUGUACCAACUGGAUGAGCAGCGAACGGGUGAGUAACGCGUGGGGAAUCUGCCUUUGAGCGGGGGACAACAUUUGGAAACGAAUGCUAAUACCGCAUAAAAACUUUAAACACAAGUUUUAAGUUUGAAAGAUGCAAUUGCAUCACUCAAAGAUGAUCCCGCGUUGUAUUAGCUAGUUGGUGAGGUAAAGGCUCACCAAGGCGAUGAUACAUAGCCGACCUGAGAGGGUGAUCGGCCACAUUGGGACUGAGACACGGCCCAAACUCCUACGGGAGGCAGCAGUAGGGAAUCUUCGGCGAUGGACGUAAGUCUGACCGAGCAACGCCGCGUGAGUGAAGAAGGUUUUCGGAUCGUAAAACUCUGUUGGUAGAGAAGAACGUUGGUGAGAGUGGAAAGCUCAUCAAGUGACGGUAACUACCCAGAAAGGGACGGCUAACUACGUG
RNAcentral lists this ribosomal RNA (497 nucleotides) under uncultured bacterium. Its description in RNAcentral is "partial 16S ribosomal RNA". It matches the Rfam family "Bacterial small subunit ribosomal RNA", at positions 28 to 507 of the family's 1533-position model. The record is from RNAcentral.